Molecule: ribosomal RNA, 496 nt
Filed under: uncultured bacterium
Lineage: Bacteria
Description: partial 16S ribosomal RNA
Rfam family: Bacterial small subunit ribosomal RNA
Source: RNAcentral
GAUGAACGCUGGCGGCGUGCCUAAUACAUGCAAGUCGAGCGAACAGACGAGGAGCUUGCUCCUUCGACGUUAGCGGCGGACGGGUGAGUAACACGUAGGUAACCUACCUAUAAGACUGGGAUAACUUCGGGAAACCGGAGCUAAUACCGGAUAAUAUUUCGAACCGCAUGGUUCGAUAGUGAAAGAUGGCUUUGCUAUCACUUAUAGAUGGACCUGCGCCGUAUUAGCUAGUUGGUAAGGUAACGGCUUACCAAGGCAACGAUACGUAGCCGACCUGAGAGGGUGAUCGGCCACACUGGAACUGAGACACGGUCCAGACUCCUACGGAAGGCAGAAGUAGGGAAUCUUCCGCAAUGGGCGAAAGCCUGACGGGGCAACGCGGCGUGAGUGAUGAAGGUCUUCGGAUCGUAAACCUCUGUUAUUAGGAAGAACAAACGUGUAAGUAACUGUGCACGUCUUGACGGUACCUAAUCAGAAAGCCACGGCUAACUACGUG